ACGUGCACGCUCUCGAUCCGCAUGGACGAGGCGUGCACGGAUGCGAUGUGCGGGCGGCGCACUUCUGGCGAGCGAGCGUCAGCGUCGGUUGUCGAUGGGCGACAAGGACAUGAGGAAGGUGAACCGGUCCUCGUGACCGGUUGUUAUAGCCUCUUGUUCGCAUAGCCCGACGGCGACCGUGGCUCUGCGACGCGUGCCUGGCUGGUGAUUCUUACGAUCGGUCCGGCAUGUCGACCGUGGCGGACGGCACGCCUGUGCGCUCAAACUGCUGCCGGUCGAUCGUGGGUUUUUCACACACUACGCGUCUAGGAUGCUGACGGCCAUACGGCUCCAUCCGACCCGUCUUGAAACACGGACCAAGGAGUCUAACAUGUGCGCAAGUCUCCGGGUGAUUGAAACCCGUGGGCACAAUGAAAGUAAAGAUCGUCUUAGACGAUUGAGGUGAGAAGCGAGCACCUAGGUGUUCGCGGCAUCAUCGACCGACCUAUUCUGCUCUCAGAAAGGUUUGAGUAAGAGCGUAUCUGUUGGGACCCGAAAGAUGGUGAACUAUGCCUGAAUAGGGUGAAGCCAGCGGAAACACYGGUGGAAGCUCGUAGCGAUUCUGACGUGCAAAUCGAUC
This 619-nucleotide ribosomal RNA is filed under the name Leptogorgia taboguillae. Its description in RNAcentral is "eukaryotic LSU rRNA". It matches the Rfam family "Eukaryotic large subunit ribosomal RNA", at positions 466 to 903 of the family's 3401-position model. The record is from RNAcentral. Lineage: Eukaryota; Metazoa; Cnidaria; Anthozoa; Malacalcyonacea; Gorgoniidae.